Molecule: long non-coding RNA, 458 nt
Filed under: Micromonas commoda
Lineage: Eukaryota; Viridiplantae; Chlorophyta; Mamiellophyceae; Mamiellales; Mamiellaceae
Description: long non-coding RNA (MCOM_LNC000192)
Source: RNAcentral
GAGUCGUCUCCUCCUCCCGGCUCGUGCCGGCCGAUUAGAGGUAGUGGAAGAAAGACUGGAGGACCGCGAUGUUGCAACCGCGAGCCGCCUUGAGGCCGAGGUUCCAGGACCUGACGUGAACCUGAGGGCACACCUUCUCGGUGUUGAGGUCGGGCGCGGACACGAUGGCGGCGCCAAUGAGGUCGAACGCGGCGAGGCAGAGCUUCUCGGUGUCCGUCAUGGACGCACCGAGGGCGUUGAUCUCGCCGAUGACGGUGGGGAGGCCCUCGGUCAGGUUGGCGUAGAUCAUGAUCAUCUCGUCGGUGUCGAGCUGGGGGAUGAAAGACUCGGAGAGCUGCUUGGUGUACUCACUCGGGGGCUUCCUCUCGAAACCAGACCCGAGCAGCGCGCGCCUCCUCUCCUCCUUGGGGUGCUCGAUGACGUACACCUCAUCCUUCGCGGCGUCAACCUUGGAGGGG